This 118-nucleotide ribosomal RNA is filed under the name Pteropus alecto (black flying fox). The record is from RNAcentral. Lineage: Eukaryota; Metazoa; Chordata; Mammalia; Chiroptera; Pteropodidae.
GUCUACGGACAUGCUACCCUGAACAAGACCGAUCUGUCUGAUUUCAGAAGCUAGGCAGGGUCAGACCCGGUUAGUAUUUGCAUGGGAGACCACCUAGAAAGACCAGGUGCUGUAGGCG